RNAcentral lists this microRNA precursor (75 nucleotides) under Podarcis lilfordi (Lilford's wall lizard). Lineage: Eukaryota; Metazoa; Chordata; Lepidosauria; Squamata; Lacertidae. The record is from RNAcentral.
UGUGUGUGUGUGUGUGUGUGUGUGUGUGUGUGUGUGCAUGUGCGCGCGCGCACCCACGCACCCCACACACACGCC